This 3171-nucleotide long non-coding RNA is filed under the name Marmota monax (woodchuck). The record is from RNAcentral. Lineage: Eukaryota; Metazoa; Chordata; Mammalia; Rodentia; Sciuridae.
CACAUCCCCAGCCCUAUUUUGUAUUUGAUUUAGAGACAGGGUCACACUGUGUUGCUUAGCACCUUGCUUUUGCUGAGGCUGGCUGUGAAUUCUCAAUCCUCCUGCCUCAGCCUCCCAAGCCGCUGGGAUUACAGGUGUGCAUCGCCGUGCCUGGUGAGAAGGUUACAUUUUUUUGACUCACUGAUAAAGCCAUAGCCAUGGAGAACUGUGGGGGUGUCAGUGAGGAGUGAGGACAGGGCGUUCCAGGGCUGUGACCUGAGCGGUGUGAGCUGGGGGAGCACCCAUAGAAAGAGAUUUGCUCCAGAUUGGAUGCCAUCAGGAAGCAGGAGUAUUCUAUGUCAGGAUGUCUUACCUUCUCGAUGAAAAGAUAAGGAAGAACCUUCUAGAACUCGUGAGAGACUAGCACUGUCACUGGCAAAGAAGCAGCCCUCACUCAUUCAGCCACAGAGAGGUUGGGGGACUUCUCAGUUCAAACAAUGCUCAUGUUUUGUCGGGGCAGCCUCAGUCGUGUGUCCGUGGUCUUGUUUCUGACCUGAUCCAACACCAGAGUGCGCUUCUCUGAUGCUGGUGGUCAUUGAAGUCAUGAGGUUCAGCAGGACACCGAGGCCCCGCUGGGAGGGCCGGGCAGCCCUGCUGAUGGGCUGGUUUCCUCCUCCCACUCACGCAGCCACUUACCUGUCAGGUAGCCAGCACAGCCUGCCUGCUCUGCGGUUCAGAAGCACGGAGUCAUUUGAUAAGUCCUGACCUGUCACCCUCCCUCUCUGCCUGUGUCCUCCUCCCCUGUCCUGGCUUCUCUCCACAGGCUCUGUCCUCCACGGGCUGUUGAUGUGCUUAUGUGUGGUUUAUUUGGUGUCGAUAAGCUCCCCAGGACCAGUGUGUAUCUGUUCUGUUCAUCCAUAGUCCCUGUGCCCUGGAACACAGUGGCGGCGGGGGGGCUCAAUUCGGCUAACAGUGCUGGCCGUUAAUAAAGACUGUGUUAACUGUGGAAUCCACAGUGCCUGGCUGAGUCACAUCUGGCCUUUUCUAGGAGAAUGUUCUAGUGUCCUGAGUCCCAGGGCCACGCUUCCAGAUGACAAUAGGAGUCAUUCCACCUGUCUGUCCACCCAGCCACCCAGCUAUCCAUCUAUGACUGUAUUGGGCUGUGCAUAAUUCUCAUUUGGAAAGGGAACAUCUUUGGAAAGUUUUCUCAUUUCUUCCAUGUCCCUGUGUCCUUAUCCUUGGCAGUCAGCAUGUGUCCCAAGUGAAACAAAUUACUAGUAUCUACGAAGCUAGAACAAAGCAUCUUCCACUUCUAGACAGCCUAUGCAAGUCCUCUGAGGAUGCUUAGGAUAUUGUUCUAGCUAGUGUUAAAUUUAAAGGAGCCACAUCUUUUUUUUUUUUUUUUUAAAGAGAGAGUGAGAGAGAUAGAGGUAGAGAGAGAGAGAAUUUUUUUUAAUAUUUAUUUUUUAGUAUUUGGCGGACACAACAUCUUUGUUUGUAUGUGGUGCUGAGGAUCGAACCCGGGCCGCACACAUGCCAGGCGAGCGCGCUACCGCUUGAGCCACAUCCCCAGCCCCGCCACAUCUUAAUUAUGGCAAAUUAUAGGCAUUCUUCAGAGAGUGUGGGUUCAGCCCAGACCAUGAUAAAGCAAAUAUGGAAAUAGAGGCUCAUGAGUUUUUUCUUUUCCGGGUGUAUGUAAAAGUUAUGGUGACACUGUAUUGUAGUCUAUUAAGGGUGCAAUAGUAUUAUGUCUAAAAAAUGUACCUAUCUUAAAUUUAAAAGUACCUGAUUGCUAAAAAAUGCUGACUGUCACCUCUGAGUACUAUGAUCUUUGCUGGUAGAGGGUCUUGCCUGCUAUUGCUGGCUACUGACUGAUCGGGUGGUGGCUGAAGGCUGGUGGCUACGGCUUAAUUCUUAAAAUAAGACAACACUGAAGUUUGCCUCAUCAAUUGAUACUUCUUUUCUAAAAGAUUUCUCUCCAGCACGCCUUGCUGUUUGACAGCAUUUUACACCCUGUAAACUUCUUUCAAAAUUGAGGUCAGCCCUUUCAGCUUUUGUGUGACAUUCUCAAGCCUCUGUCGUCAUCUCAGCAGCGUUCCCUGCACCCUCAGUGGAUUCCAUCUCCAGACAGCGCUCUCGUAGCUCAUCUGUAAGAGGCAGCUCCUUGUCCCUUGAGAUGGCAGCAGUCAGGCCCCACUUCCGGCUCCACUUCCAGUCCCCCUGCUGUUCCCACCGCACCUGCAGCUCCUCCUCCACUGGAAUCCGGAAGCCCUCGAGUGGGCCACAAGCGCUGGACUCUGGUGAAGUGCCGGUGUUCUGACCUCCUCCCAUGAAUCCCAGAUGCUCUUAAUGUCGUCUUGAAUGGCGGGUCCUUUCCAGAGGCGUCCUGUUGACUUUGCCCAGAUCCAUCAGAGGGACACUGUUUAGUGUACUUUGCUGUGUGCAGUGCUGGGCCUCACGCAGGCUGGGCAAGCGCUCUGCGCUACUGAUGGCAGCCACGGCCUUAGGAAAUGUGUCUCUGUGAUAAUCAGACCUAGGAUCUACGUCACUCCUGAUCGGGAGCUGCACAGUGAGGCUGUUGGCAGGCAUGAAAGGACAUCAAUCUCGCGGAGCAUCUCCCCAGAGCCCCUGGGAGACCAGUGCGCUGUAGGCGAGCAGUAACGCUUGGAAAGGACUCUCAGGCAGCGGGCUCCACGGUGGACGUGCUCAGCAAGCCAUGUGACAACAGGGACGUCACAGCCUUGGCCAUUCCCUUUAUGGAGCACAGGCAGCAGAGCUGUGUCAUUCGGAAGACCCCAACGGGCUUCACCUUCCCCUUGAAGUCACCAGCUGCCUUCGCCCCUAACAAGGAGUCAGCUGUCCUUUGACGACCUGCUCAGGCGCUGACUUCUCCGUAGCCAUCAAAGUCCUGGGCAGCACCUGCUUCCACAGAAGGCUGCUCCGUCUACACUGGAAAUCUGCUGCUGGUGCAGCGGCUCCAUCAGCCGUCCCAGAUGGAUCCUUGGGACAACUCUGAGCUGCUUCACCGCCCUUGCUGCGUCACCUGCACCGGGACUGGUGGAGCCUCAGGAGCGACCUCCGCAGCCUCGGCCGUUUCUCCUGCAGCUGCCUCACCUCUCGGUCCCCCAGGAGGGAGAGUGGGGGCCUGGCUCUGGCUACACCUGGCUCAAGGGAAUGCUGUGGCUGGUUUGA